CUCCCUUCUUGGUGGGGUCCUCAGGCAGCGGCAUCCCCUCACCUGGCACCAUCUUGAAGUACUUGGGGCUGAGACAGAAAGAGAAGAAAGGAAGGAGCAUAGAAGACUCACAACACUCCUGGAAAUCCUUGCUCAAAGAUCUCUCCUGACCCAAGAGCACAUCAAUUCAGACUGGCUGUUCAGUAAACCCCAAGAUCCUCUGUCUCUGCCUCUCCAGCACUGGUAUCACAGGGGCUCUGCCAAUGGCGCUGGGGACCAAGUCCAGGUCUCCAUCCCUGGGUGGUAUUGGGUCAUCUCCCCAGGCCCUUCUUUCAGCCUUUUGUGUUCAUAUCUUGAGCAAGUUUCUUCCAUCUCGGACCUCAGUUUCCCACUGUGGAAAAUGGUAGUGAUCUCCAAGCUGAGCUCACAGAAGCAUUGGGAUGCUCUGUCCCUGGGAAGGGGCUCUGGGGACCACCUAACUCUAGACCAAAACUUGUAGGAACAGGAAAAAAAUGUGUUCCUUCCCUCUCGGUCCCCCCACUACCUGAACCUGGUGACUGACUGCCCCGAGCCAGCUUCUCUCCCUCUCACCUGGUCCCCUUCCUUCUCAAAGGUGAUGCGCGUGCCCUGCCUCCACCCAGGCCUCACAUCGAUGGUCAGGAUCUUGUCCUUGAUGGUAGAGGAAUACCCAUCUUCAUUUAGCACCUACGGUGACAGGGGUAGGGACGGGGAAUUGUCUCAGGGGAAAGGCCCUGUAGGGUGUACUCUGUACCCAUAGUAAUGGGGGACUAGAGUCAUUCCCACUCCCAUCCCACUGUCACUAGAUUUAAGAGCUUGUGACUCUCCAAGGCAAGGCAUGUCCUCAAGUUGAUGAAGCUGUGGCCUGAGACACCAGUCACCACAAGUGCUGGCCACCAACAAAAACAUAGUGAAAGUUUCCUAUCUCCAAAUCCCAGAAGUCUGGCCCUAAUCCCAACGUCCUCCCUAUCCUACACUAGGCCCCACUACCCCUCAGUGUCUAUUACAAGAUCACUAGAGACCCCAGACUUCGGUUUCUAGGAAGUUACUGGUUCAUAUGAAGAAAGAGGGGGCUGGUCACAAGCAUGCAGUGGACCUCUCAGAAGGCAAAAUACUGAGCCUCAUGCAAAGCAUCCCUUCCCCCACCCCUCCAUUGUGCCUGCAACCCCAUGAGCUCACAGUGCCACCUUUGGACAGCAUGGCCACAGUGGGUAUCUCCCCCAGGCAAAGGGGAGGAAGAAGGCUGAACCACAGGCCAUAGUCAGGUCAGUCCAAGGACUACUACUACUCACAGCAACUACUCACAAGGGUCUUCGCUAAGCUGUCGCCUUAGAGACUGUGCUGCCCACCUCCAUGCCCACCCUGUGGCUGAGGCACACAGUCCUUGGGGUGUGGUCUGUAAUGCCCUGGAGUGAAAUGAAUGGCAGAUUCUUUCUACUCCCACUCCUCCGCUUUCCACUAGGGUGGCUGGACUGGGAAGGGAGAGACCCUGUUCCCAUUAGAUAGAUGCAGAAGGGACUUCUGUACCAGAAAAAAAGGCUGAAUCUUUAUAUUAUUCAUUCAAAUUUCGAUUCUAAAGUCUAAAGUCUAAAAUUGCUGAGUCUUUUGACCUAAGAGUUUCAUGAUUCCAUCAGAAAAGGUUGCCAAGUUUUCCUGUUGGGGGAGGGGGACCUGCCAGGGAGGUUUGUGGAGGUAGAUGGUGCCUGGUAAGGGGAGCCAGCCUAGUACUCACCCUUCGGGAGAUCUUAAUUUUUUUGGUGCAGCCAAAGAAUAAGUCCUCCAGGGACAAAUAGAGGUCUCGUUCAAUUGGAGGGUCUUGUUUCUGGACCCCUCGGCCCCGAAGCCCCCCAAAAUUCAAAUCUAUAUCAUUUCCUUCUGCAUCAAAAAAUUCUAAAAGAGAUAGGAGGAUGAGUAACAGAAAUGAUGUCCAAAGACACAGAUCAGAUAGACAGACAGACACACAGACACACACAGAGACACAACACAGAUGCACACAGAGAUGCACACAUACACAGACACACACAGAGACACACAGAGAGACACACACAGAUGCAGACACACAGAAAUGCACGCAUAUGCACACAUACACAGAGACACACACACAGAUGCACAGACAGACACAGAUACUGAGACACACAGAGAUGCACGUAUACACAGACACACACACAGAUGCACAGACACAGAGACACACAGAGAUGCACAGACAGACAUAGAUGCACAGACACCCACAGACACAUACACCCCUAUAUUCCCUUGAACCUCUUCAGUGCCCCAAGAAUAAGGCUCAGCACAGCAUUCCCACCUCUCAGACCCAUGGACCAAAGACUAUCUGUUUUGUUUCAUUUUGUUUUUGGCCUUGAAUUCAGGGCAAUCCUCCUACCCCAGCCUCCUCAGUGCUGGGAUUACACGAGUGAGCUACCACACUUGGCUUCGAGAAGCCACUCUUAGAUGCAGACCAGUGAUCACCAGCCCUUGCCAGGUCCCAGUGCUUCCCUGGGACUCCCACAGAGUGAGGUGGGGGCAAGCUCCUGCUGUGUGUACAAACUCAGGCAUCGCUCUAAGCGGUAGAUCCCCGUAGUGCAGACAAGAUGGCCAUUCAGGCAGAGUGGGUCAGAGCAGCUAGGCCACUCUGCCCUUCCCCAGAUCCUACUGCUGGUUCUCUGUCCUUUCCCAUGACCACCCUAGACAACCCAGCCUCAAGCUCUCUUGAGUUACAAGCUGAUACAAAGAAGGAUUUGGGCUGGUCAGUGGCAGUAGUGAGUGGUUGACAACAUGUCCCAAGCUCCUUUCCUGCUCUCCAUCUGAGAGCCCACCUGAUGACCUUGCCUUAACCUGAUGGCAGAGAGAGGGAGAGGGAGAGAGGGAGAGACAGAGACAGAGACAGAGACAGACAGAGAGACAGAGACAGAAACACACAGGGAGAGAGAGAGAGACAGAGAGACCAGAGACAAGACACGGGGCGGGGGAGAAUGAUGACCACCUUUGGGUCUGCUUGUAGUACUGUAAUCCUUUGAAACUUGGUUUUUUAGUCUGUGGCACAGGGUAACAUUUGUCCUGCCCUAUACCAUUAAGUUGAGAAACAGCUAAGCCUUUGGGAAAGCCUGCUGUGUAUCAGGCUCUGCACUCAGUGACUUUCAUCCUUACUUUAUAAUCUAGAGAGUCCAAGAAAAUGCUCACAGUUCCAUAGCUAGCAAGUAAUGAAGUUGGGACCGGUACCCCAGGACCACUUGGCCACAGAACUGUGCCCUUGGUCAAUGUGCUAUAUUUGCUGGAUGUGGGGCCCUUGUAGGCUUUGGAGACAGAGGUAGCUGUUAUGUACCCUGUCCCUCAUGGCCAGUGCCAUGGAAUGAGUGUGACAAGCUAGAUGGCGAAAGGUACAUCAACAGCUGGCAAUGUGCUGUGGGUUCACGUGACAGCUGGGAGCCAAUGUCACAGCUCAGCAAGUAAAGGGCACUUUUACCCACCUGACUCCUGAGGGCGACCUCUGAUCUGCACACACUAGAUAUAGCGAGGCUUCCUUUUUUUUUUAAAAAAAAAAAAAAAAAGGAACAAGGAGGUAGUUCCAUAAUAGGAGUCUUUGUCUAGCCCAGUGGUUCUCAACCUUCCUAAUGCUGUGACCCUUAAUACAGUUCCUCAUGUUGUGGUGACCCCAGCCAUAACAUUAUUUCAUUGCUACUUCACUGCAAUUUUGCUACUGUUGUGAAUCAACAUGUAAAUAUUUCUUGAAGAUAGAGGUUUGUAAAGAAGUCAUGACCCACAGGUUGAGAACCACUGACCUAAACUACACAAGGUCUCAAUUUCAAUGCUCAGUACCACAGAAUCUUUUUAAAGACAAAUUUCUGAAUGGACAUGGUGGAUGUUAACAGUGAGUGACUGCAUCUAGGAGAGGAAAGGAAGUAGAGAAUUUUUCAAUAAAUCCUGUUUUAAUUUCAGUGUGGUUUAUAUGUGUAAUACCAGCACUUGGGAGCCUGGGGAAUUUGAGGCUAGCUUGGGCUACAGAAUGAGACCCUGCCUCAGAUAAAUAAACAAACAAUCCCUUUUCCUCUCCAUUUCUCUGUUUAUUUCCUUCUUUUUCUCAAAGAUUUAUUUAUUUUAUAUAAAUGAAUGCUCCAUUUGCAUGUACAUCUGAUGUCAGAAGAGGGCAUCAGAUCCCAUUAGGGAUGGUUGUGAGCCACCAUGUGGUUGCUGGGAUUUGAACUCCGGUCCUCUGGAAGAGCAGUCAGUGGUCUUAACCGCUGAGCCAUCUCUCCAGCCCCUUCUGCUUACUUCUUCGCUUUGUUUUUUUGCUUUGUUUUGUUUUGUUUUGUUGGUUCUUUUUUUCGGAGUUGGGGACCGAACCCAGGGCCUUGCGCUUCCUAGGCAUUCUGCUUACUUCUUAAAGAGGCAAAACCAGGCUGGAUGUGGUGACUCACACCUGUAAUUGCCAAGAGUUCAAAGCCAACUGGACUAUAAGAUGAACUUAGUCUUCCCUACAGAGUGAGACCAAGCCUCAGAGGGUGCAGGGAUGGCUCAGUGGUUAAGAGCACUUGCUGCUCUUGCAGGGAAUCCGUUCCCAACACCCACAUGGUGACUUGAAACUACCCCUAAUUCUAGUUUCCAGGAGCCCUGAUGGCUUCUGACCUCCCUGGUUACCAGGCACACAUAUGUGUAUCUAUAGGCAGGUAAAACUGUCAUACACAUAAAAUGAACAAGUCUAACAUUUAAGAAAGGAAGAAAGAAAGAAACGAGAGAGAGAGAGAGAGAGAGAGAGAGAGAGAGAGAGAGAGAGAGAGAGAGAGAAAGCUGGGUGUGGUGGUACAUGCCUAUAAUUCCAGCACUUGGGAGGCAGGGAGAUCAGGAGUUCAAGGUCAUCCUUGGCUAAGCCUUGCCUGGCCUGGGAAAUCUGCCUCAAAAGUAAAAUAACAAAAAAGCACACAAAAUAAAUAAAAAGCAACCAAACCUAGCCAACAAGAAAGGCAUCUUCUACAGCGGUAUUCUUUCCCAGUAAGAAAAGGACCGGGGUGGGGGUGGAGUCUUACCACUGAAGGGGUUGUCUCCUCCAAAAAACUCGUGGAACACUUUUUCAGGGUUGCCAUGGAAGACAUAGCCCGUUGUCCAUGGAGUCUGGGAUCCAAACUCCAGAGGAAUCCCACCCUUCAGGCCUUCCUCGCCAAACUUGUCAUAGAUGCCUCGUUUCACUGCUGUGGGUAAAAGUGACCUUGAGGAGGACUCCGGGGCUUAUGUGACUGGAGAGACAGAGGUAGUGAGAGAGCUGAGGGAGGUGGGGGACAAGGGCAGCCUUAUCUCCUGCAGGCUGGAAGUCUCUAGGAGGUAGAAAGUCAGUGACACUCGCUGUCAGUUCAGUGUCACUAGCCUAUAGAUCCUAUAGGAUAGCCCAGAAAAGCAAUGAGAGAAACCUGCCUGGGUUGGGCUUUUGAGAGGAACUGAGAGACUGAGGGUCAGGUACAUCCUGGGGUUGACUUAGCUCAGUCUUGGGAGGGAAAUGUAACAUUCUAAAAUCUUAAAAUUUUAGAAUCUAAGAAUUCUGAACUUGGAAAAAAAAAUUUUUUUUUUUUUUUGGUUCUUUUUUUCGGAGCUGGGGACCGAACCCAGGGCCUUGCGCUUCCUAGGCAAGCACUCUACCACUGAGCUAAAUCCCCAACCCCUGAACUUGGAAAUUUUAAAAUCCAAAAAAAAUCAGGGCUGGAGAAGCCAUAGUCUAGCUGUUUUAACCAACAGUGGCCACAGUCACAGCCCCCAGACCAUCCCCUAGAGAAGUCACAGUCACAGCCCCCAGACCAUCCCCUAGAGAAGUCACAGUCACAGCCCCCCAGACCAUCCCCUAGAGAAGUCACAGUCACAGCCCCCCAAACCAUCCCCUAGAGAAGACACAGUCACAGCCCCCCAGACCAUCCCCUAGAGAAGCCACAGUCACAGCCCCCCAGACCAUCCCCUAGAGAAGCCACAGUCACAGCCCCCCAGACCAUCCCCUAGAGAAGCCACAGUCACAGCCCCCCAGACCAUCCCCUAGAGAAGCCAUAGUCACAGCCCCCCAGACCAUCCCCUAGAGAAGACACAGUCACAGCCCCCCAGACCAUCCCCUAGAGAAGCCAACUGGGCAGCUGUUCUUUGCCUAGUAGUGAGUCACCCUCAUCCCACACGACUGAUUUCCAAAGGGUGAGGUCUGAUGGCUCUAAGCUUUUCCUUGCCCUCUGCUCCUGUUGUCCCUGGAGAUAGUCUGGGACAAUAAAUCAGAACAACGUCUGCUCUGCCUCAGCCCUCUGUCUCUGGCAGCUGCCAUUCCCCUCCAAGCCUCAGGAAGGGUCCUUUCUGCCAGCCAGAGGCAGAGGGGCACGCCCACUUCUGUGCUGCUUCGGCUGGCAGAGUCAGCACGGGAGCUUGACCACCUCGCCCAUUCCUGAUGUCAACACUGAGUUUGAGACCAGCCUCUGCUACACAAGAGCCUUCCUCAAACAGACAAGAUGAGAGCUGAAGUUUGGAUUCCCAGCAGCGUGUAAAAAUGUGGUGGAUCUGUAACCUCAGUGCUGGCAGGCAGAGGAAGCCUUUGCUGAUGAACCAAGAGGCUGAGGAGAUAAAGACAUCUUUCAAAGUUCUGGAGCCACUUAAGUAAUAAAGUCAUUUCUGACUAAAA
Molecule: long non-coding RNA, 6628 nt
Organism: Rattus norvegicus (Norway rat)
Lineage: Eukaryota; Metazoa; Chordata; Mammalia; Rodentia; Muridae
Source: RefSeq, a predicted model, not a curated record